AACCCGCAAGGAGCACAGCAGUGCUUCAGAAGACUCCUCCCGUCUGACUGUUGCUUGUACAAGCUCAGUGGUAAGUCUCAACAGUACUCAAAAGCCCUUCACUGUACUGAAGCCAGCCUGAAUCCUGUAACUCUUGGAACUCAGUGGAUGAAUUUGAUCUCUAAAAUCUCCAAGACACCUAAGCAAACCUCAUUUGCAGGAUGGAUCAGGUUUUCCCAUGGCAGUCAAUGCCAGCGGCACCAAAGGCCCUCUGAGGGCUUUUCAAAGAAAGAGAUUGUGUCCGAAAACAGGAGUCCAAGUAGCAAGCUAAGGAAAAGCUACUGCAACAGGUCACUGUGUGAAUCAUGCCUUGACUGA
RNAcentral lists this long non-coding RNA (357 nucleotides) under Apteryx owenii (little spotted kiwi). RNAcentral's name for it is "lncRNA (ENSAOWG00000012064.1)". The record is from RNAcentral. Lineage: Eukaryota; Metazoa; Chordata; Aves; Apterygiformes; Apterygidae.